AGUGAACGCUGGCGGUAGGCCUAACACAUGCAAGUCGAACGGCAGCACAGUAAGAGCUUGCUCUUACGGGUGGCGAGUGGCGGACGGGUGAGGAAUACAUCGGAAUCUACUUUUUCGUGGGGGAUAACGUAGGGAAACUUACGCUAAUACCGCAUACGACCUACGGGUGAAAGCAGGGGAUCUUCGGACCUUGCGCGAUUGAAUGAGCCGAUGUCGGAUUAGCUAGUUGGCGGGGUAAAGGCCCACCAAGGCGACGAUCCGUAGCUGGUCUGAGAGGAUGAUCAGCCACACUGGAACUGAGACACGGUCCAGACUCCUACGGGAGGCAGCAGUGGGGAAUAUUGGUCAAUGGGCGCAAGCCUGAUCCAGCCAUACCGCGUGGGUGAAGAAGGCCUUCGGGUUGUAAAGCCCUUUUGUUGGGAAAGAAAAGCAGCAGGUUAAUACCCCGCUGUUCUGACGGUACCCAAAGAAUAAGCACCGGCUAACUUCGUA
Molecule: ribosomal RNA, 492 nt
Filed under: uncultured bacterium
Lineage: Bacteria
Description: partial 16S ribosomal RNA
Rfam family: Bacterial small subunit ribosomal RNA
Source: RNAcentral